UCGAUGCAUUCAACUUUACUUUAU
This 24-nucleotide non-coding RNA is filed under the name Arabidopsis thaliana (thale cress). The record is from RNAcentral. Lineage: Eukaryota; Viridiplantae; Streptophyta; Magnoliopsida; Brassicales; Brassicaceae.